Molecule: long non-coding RNA, 956 nt
Filed under: Capsicum annuum
Lineage: Eukaryota; Viridiplantae; Streptophyta; Magnoliopsida; Solanales; Solanaceae
Description: long non-coding RNA (CANN_LNC012442)
Source: RNAcentral
CCAAUGUAUGUAUGCAGCAGUGACAAUGCUCGAAUCUGGACACACAAGUACAUGUUAAAGAGUGGAGUGGUUAUGUCAAAGUUUGUAAAGAUCUCUAUGUGCCAAUGAAGACUUUGGAUUCCAUGCCAAAUAAUAAGAGAUCGAAUAGCCUUACAUACCUCGACAUAUCAACUUGUUUUUACGUCGAAAUGACUUCUUUUCUUCCAACUAUUUAUCUACAAUAUCAUGUUUUAAAGCUAGUAUUAGCAGCUAAUCAAUGCAUCUGGACAGCCCAAUCUCACAAGACACAACACUUUGGCAACAAACGUAUAACCAUCAACUCAAUGGUGUUAUUCCGACUUUCUCAAUUCUAACUGUAUUCAACCAGCAUAGAUUAUCAUAUACAUGAUGUAUACAGCCUAUAUUAGCUCUAUAACAUGCUGGCAACAGUCCAUACCUACAACACAUAACCAUUUUACUAAACGCUCAACUAAGAAGCACAACAUCUCGUCGUCUCCCUACAUUUCAUCGUUAACAAUUCAUACUUGUCCCAACUUUGAACCAGAUGCUCCCAACAUAUGUAUACAUCAAAUAAAUCUUAACAUAGUCAAAAAAUAGCUCAAAACGUAGGGGUAAAUGUGAAACAACAGCCCCCUCAACAAAACAGUCCAAUACCAUUUUGGAAGCACAUAAGAUCAUAUAAGGAUACUUGUUUCCAAAGAACUAGCAAAACAGUCCAGCAACCUUGGAAACCAUAUACAUACUAUAACAUGUUAAUAACCUCAACUUUAUAUCAUAUUAAAGUGAAAAAUCAGGGUAAAAAUCGUUCCAAAGCCAAGAAAACCAAACAACAACUUUCAGGACACAAGCUGUCCAGAAAUUCCUGCACAGUGAACCAGCCAACUUAUCUUGUUUUCCAUGGAAAAUUCAUAUCAAGUAUAUGGUUAUUUUUACAUACCUUAACUCCCAAGGUGUAG